ACGAACGCUGGCGGCGUGCUUAACACAUGCAAGGCGCACGGAAAGGCCCCUUUGGGGGUACUCGAGUGGCGAACGGGUGAGGAACACGUGAGUAACCUGCCCUUCACUUCGGGAUAACAUCAGGAAACGGGGGCGAAUACCGGACCGGAAACCUUGCUGCACGGCGGGGGGUGGAAAGCUUCGGCGGUUUUGGAUGGAAUCGAGGCGUAUCAGCUUGGUGGGUGGGUAGUGGCUUACCAAGGCAUUGACGGGGAGCCGGCCUGGGGGGGCGGCCGGCCCCAUUUGGGCUGGGCUACGGGCCAGACUCCUACGGGGGGCAGCAAUGGGGAAUAUUGCCCCAAGGGCCGGAACCUGAUGCAGCAACGCCGCGUGCGGGAUUACGGGCUUCGGGUUGUAAACCGCUUUCAGCAUGGGCGGAGCUUGUAGUGACGGUACCUGCAGAAGAAGCACCGGCUAACUACGUG
Molecule: ribosomal RNA, 464 nt
Filed under: uncultured bacterium
Lineage: Bacteria
Description: partial 16S ribosomal RNA
Rfam family: Bacterial small subunit ribosomal RNA
Source: RNAcentral